UUAAAUUGAAGAGUUUGAUCAUGGCUCAGAUUGAACGCUGGCGGCAGGCCUAACACAUGCAAGUCGAACGGUAACAGGAAUCAGCUUGCUGCUUCGCUGA
This 100-nucleotide ribosomal RNA is filed under the name Salmonella enterica subsp. enterica serovar Newport. Its description in RNAcentral is "partial 16S ribosomal RNA". It matches the Rfam family "Bacterial small subunit ribosomal RNA", at positions 1 to 94 of the family's 1533-position model. The record is from RNAcentral. Lineage: Bacteria; Pseudomonadati; Pseudomonadota; Gammaproteobacteria; Enterobacterales; Enterobacteriaceae.